AACUCAUGAUGAGGACAUGAGUUCAAGAGCUCUUUGAACCUAUCCCAAAAUUCGAAAAAAAAUUUAACUAUCUUUAACUACAAAAUUUGUGAUUUGACAUUUAAGCGU
This is a small nucleolar RNA of Vitis riparia (riverbank grape), 108 nucleotides long. Lineage: Eukaryota; Viridiplantae; Streptophyta; Magnoliopsida; Vitales; Vitaceae. The record is from RefSeq and is a predicted model, not a curated record.